UGCUCUGUACCUUAUUAUUAAGGAGAGCUUCCAGCUGCAUAGGGAUAUUUGUGACGGCAGUGCAGUUCUUCUCGAGGCUUUUUUCGACAUGGACCAGAAGGACAGGGUUAAAGCCUACGAAAGCUUCUACACCUCUGCCAAACAAGCGGACGAGCUACAUGAGUUUCUCAAUUUGUGCAAGCAUCAUGGUAUUGGUCGGUCUUCGGAGUACAUCGAAGUCGCACCUGUUCCGAAGGAGCAACUGGAUAAUCUUGAGGAAUAUUUGCGAUCAAACGCACCAACCCGAACCAGGAGCAAGAGCCCCGAGGCUCCGACUUUGCAACUCGAGUACAAGCCUCGAACUCCUGAGCAUUCACCAGAAUCUGAACCUGUUCCGAAAGAAGACGCUCCCGAGGUUGUAGUAGAACCAGAGCCAGCGCCAGCCCCUGCACCAGCCCCUGUCCCAGCUCCAAUAGCCGCUGUCGGAGGUAAAUCGAUAGUUUUUUAAUAAAUAAAUUGUCCUUUUAUUUUGAAGUUGAAAACAUUUGGAAGUUUCUUCUUCACAUUGGGUAACUUUAAAUUUACUGAUGUCAUAGCUUGACUUAUUUUUACAGAUUUGUUAGACAUGGACAAUGCAACAAUAUCUACCGAAGAUCACAGCGAGAAACUCGCUUUGGCCCUUUUCUCUACUUCAACCACCACUAGUACCUGGGAAACCUUCAAUUCGGACGAUAAACAAAGUUCCCUUCAAGCAUUUAAUGCCUCAGAAUCUGGAAAAGCUGGUUGGGAGCUGGCCUUGGUAGAAUCUGCAAGCAAUCUGUCGAAGCCCGCCCCUGACCGACCCUUGGCUGG
RNAcentral lists this long non-coding RNA (831 nucleotides) under Physcomitrium patens. RNAcentral's name for it is "long non-coding RNA (PPAT_LNC005957)". Lineage: Eukaryota; Viridiplantae; Streptophyta; Bryopsida; Funariales; Funariaceae. The record is from RNAcentral.